AUUCACUUAAAAUUUGUCUUAUCUGUAACAGCGGUACAAUUAAGCUAUCGGAUUUUAUAUACAAUUACCGAAAACGCCAAAGAUAACAGAUGUGCGAGCUCACGCGGUUCAUGCCGGAGAGUUGCUAACACUGACCUAACAAGAGCAGUGCUUCGCAGAAUCUACCACCGGAUCGGAAACGCUAGUUAGCAACUUUUUAAUUUGUAAUAUGUACGUAUUUUAGUAGAAAAAAUUAGUACCUGCUUGCGAUAUUUAAAAUCUUCAUAGUCACAUUGUCCGACAUGAGUGUAUUUGUUGUAAUUGUUUCACGGUUAAAGUAAAGAGAGUGGAUUACAAAUUUGGUAAUGAUAGUAAGAUGUACUGUGAAUCACAAAUAAAAUAAAAAAGUCCGGAAAACUUGUUUGUAAAUUAA
Long non-coding RNA from Bombyx mori (domestic silkworm), 412 nucleotides. RefSeq lists it as uncharacterized. The transcript is spliced from 2 exons. NCBI's taxonomy places the organism in Eukaryota, Metazoa, Arthropoda, Insecta, Lepidoptera, Bombycidae. The record is from RefSeq and is a predicted model, not a curated record.